RNAcentral lists this ribosomal RNA (429 nucleotides) under Actinomycetes bacterium. Its description in RNAcentral is "Actinobacteria bacterium partial 16S ribosomal RNA". It matches the Rfam family "Bacterial small subunit ribosomal RNA", at positions 355 to 776 of the family's 1533-position model. Lineage: Bacteria; Bacillati; Actinomycetota; Actinomycetes. The record is from RNAcentral.
UAGGGAAUCUUCCGCAAUGGGCGAAAGCUUGACGGAGCAACGCCGCGUGAGUGAUGAAGGUCUUCGGAUCGUAAAACUCUGUUAUUAGGGAAGAACAAAUGUGUAAGUAACUAUGCACGUCUUGACGGUACCUAAUCAGAAAGCCACGGCUAACUACGUGCCAGCAGCCGCGGUAAUACGUAGGUGGCAAGCGUUAUCCGGAAUUAUUGGGCGUAAAGCGCGCGUAGGCGGUUUUUUAAGUCUGAUGUGAAAGCCCACGGCUCAACCGUGGAGGGUCAUUGGAAACUGGAAAACUUGAGUGCAGAAGAGGAAAGUGGAAUUCCAUGUGUAGCAGUGAAAUGCGCAGAGAUAUGGAGGAACACCAGUGGCGAAGGCGACUUUCUGGUCUGUAACUGACGCUGAUGUGCGAAAGCGUGGGGAUCAAACAGG